AAAUAGGGCUCUGGAGCUUGCAUUCCAGAGAAGACAUCAAGGUGGGCUGUUGGGAACACAGAAGAAAAUGCUGGCUUGAGCACAGGAGAACAUUUAAAUUAGGCCAGCAAGACUUGGGAUGAUGUCACGAGACCAUCAGCCAACAGCUUCACAUUUGAAUAGUAGUUUAUAAAUGGGAGAUCAUUCCAGGAUCUGUAAGGAACACCUAUAGAUGUGGGUGUCUUUGUUCUUUUAUUUAUUUAUUUUAUUUGUUCUCCCCUUAGAAUAGAUGUAGAGCUGAUGCCUGACGGUGGAUGAAAAUGGUUUCUAUUUUGGAGUAUAGGCUCUGUGCUUCUGCAGUAACUCCUUGACAGUGGUCUUCACACGCACACCCUGGUAAAUCUUGGGUUUAUCUGCAGAAAAAAAACAAUACAUUUAUUUUCAUUCACCACUGACGUAUGCAUUAUUUAAAUGAUUCUUACAUGUUCUGUAAAUGUGAAUGUUCUGUGCAGAAAAAAAAAGAACAAAAUAUUUUUUAUUUCCCUAAAUAAAAAUCCUAACGAAUGUAUAGCCUACAUGAAUCCCUGUUUAAGACAACGGAUCUACGUUGUUAAAAAUAUUUGUGAGGGUGCUUCAAAUAUGUAGGAUUAUGUUUGUUUGAUUUUAUAUAUGCAUUUCGUGUGUGUAUAUCAGUGUGGCUUAUCCAAUAAGCAAUAUAAGAAUUUAAUUGUGUUACCUUGAAAAAUGUGUUUUUGACUUGGUUGUCAAAAUAAUGAAGUUGCAAGGAAUGCAUUUGACCACUUUUCACUCUUAAAAAAAGAACGUUCUUUAUUGAGAUCGAAGCAUGAAGAACCUUAAACAUUAUUGGAAUCAGAAGGUUCUUUACAGUGAGAAAGAUUCUUUAGAUUAUUAAAACAUUCUUCACACUGAUAGAAAAAAGGUUAUUUUAAGAACAAAUCACUGAAAGGUUUUAGAGAACGGAUAUUUGGUUAUGGAAGUCAUUAAAUCGAAAUAUUUCUAUAAAAUGUUAUGCAUGUUUUUUCCAAGAAUGAUCGAAACAACAGGAAUACAAAGAUUAGGUUUCUAUGACAACCACAUGUCUAGUCUAUAACAAGAUUUUUGAAAGAUUUCUUGGACAUCCUUAUUUGUCAACCAGCUUUUGCAUUUUCUCCAUUUGCCAGUAGAAAAUAAGAUAGGCUAUAGCCUGAGUAAAUAUAGAAAUACAAGAUAAUAUCCCUCAAGAUAAAAACAACAAUGCUCGUCUUCCCAGUUAACGCAGUGGUCUGAGUGCAUUGGUGAUCCGGCAAUGAAUGGGUUAGUUUUCGCAUUACAAUAGACAGUAGUGAAUUUCGAGAAACAUGCUCUCCAGCCAUCUUUGGCACGGGGCGACAGAAUUAAAUUGUAGUUCAGACGGUUUAAUUUCAUGUAGCUGUAAAUUAAAACCCGACUAAAGUGGCGAUGAGCCUAAUCUAAUUAUUGAGCGUUUCUCUCGAGAGCAGAAGCGCUCCAAGUUGCGGAAGCGAAGUGAAAGCGCUUCAAAACACUACAUGCAGGAAAGGAGACAGAGAAGCUUCCUCGGUCGACGCCACUACAAGUUACAGACGUUGCUGAAGACAAAACAUCUUAAACGAAAGAAAAAAAGAAAAUUGACUUACCAGACAUUUUGGCCUGAAAAGGAGGAAAACUCUGGAAGAACUACAGUGAAAUACCCCAACGUCACUUCUUUGCUCUAUUAUAUGGGCAAGAACGAAUUAUUCACAAAAGUAUUAAAAAGUCUCAACAAAGUAACCUCAAAACACUCUCAGGACAUACAAUUAUACAGUAAUAUAGCUAGGGAUAUUUUAGUUUGAGUUUUUCUCCCCUCAUCCCUACUAUUUAAAACCCCAAGAACUCAAUGAUUUGACAAUGAUUUGAUUGCGCGAUACUUUCAAUUUGAAUAUUCAAAGGCUUCGUAAAAAGACUUAUUUCUGACUGAUAUUCGCUAUUAUAAUGCAUAUAUUAGCACCUCUUUUAAUAGAAUGUUGUGUUAUUUCACAUCUUGACAUCAAGCAAAUAUAUAUUUUUAACAUUUUAUCAUCCUUUUGGUGUUGGUGGAUGGAGUCUCCCUUAGAAGCACUAUUUCAACUUUGCAGGGAGAUUCAAGGCACAAAUCAAGCUUUACAUUCCAUUACACGUUGCAAAUAUCUUCUCUAAUAGGUAGUAUUGAAAAAAAUAAUAAUUAUUGUGACGUGUAGAUCUCAUUUGUGCAGUAUUUUAAGAAUUAUUGGAGUUGUGGGCGUGGCAUAUGAUAGCAGCCAUGUUUGUCAUUAGAACAAUUGGGACUCAUGCUAAAGUUAAGUUACUGGGAUAGUGGGAACAGGUAUGAGAAGGCUAAAUAUGAAAUUUAGUCAUUUAUAUUUAUAGGCUAUAUUGAAUUCAAAAGGUCAGUUGUAACUGCAGACCCAAAGCAAGUUAAUUGAAAACGAUGUUCACAAUAAAAUUUAGGCUAUUAAUUUACUUUCUCAUGGUAUUAUCUGUUUUAAUGAAACAGUUUCGUUAAUCAAUGCAUGUUGCAUAUUUAUCAUCAUCAUUAAAAUCGUCAUAUUGAUCCUCAAAAUGAAUAGGAGGGAUGCUGAUCACAAACACAAUCUUACACCUGACUGUAGUUAGGCUAAGGUCUUUUAACAAUAAUUAAAACACUUUAAAUAAUUAAAGUGGAAUAUUCUUCGAGACCGUAAUGCAGUUGUUUAUUUACGCGUGUGAUAUUUAAUGGUCGUGUGUUUAAGAAGACUGGAAACAGGCAGAAUGGAUGACAUGCAGGUGCUCUUUGUCUUAGCAAAGAAGUCUGAAAACGGUCCAUGUGACAUGUAGGCCUUGUAUACCGACAAACUGAACAUUUCGUUCGCAAGUGCAGAAUAAUUGGAUAUCAAAGUGUUGAGAUAAAACAUAGGGCACUUUAUUAAUACGUCUUUAAGCAUCUUGUUGUAGCUAAUCCGAAUGCAACUAUCUUGGUGGGAUUUCUAAAUCGCUUGACUCCUUUGUGAAAUCGAUUUGUAAUGUUAAUUCGCUGCAAACAGACCUCCUGUUUCAAAAUAUUAUUUUCUAACAAGUCUCUCAUUAUCAUUCACCUUGAUCAUCAUAUCUUUCAUAAUCCUAAUAAAUCUCUAAAGAAAGGAGAGGACAGUCGUUACGAGAUCUGGCCAGUUGAAUGUCGCCCCCUGGUGACUAAAGUGAGGAACACUCAGGUCCUUUAUGUUAUCAAUUUCUUCAUUUCAGUACAUUUUUAUACAUAAAACGUUCCCCAAUUCCUGUUUUCCUCACGUUAGAAUUAAAAUAGACGUACAUCUUUUGAUUUUCACCCUUAUUUUAUAUAGAUGUUUUUCUCCUAAUCUGGAAAUGAUGUAUAUAUGAAGAUAUUAUUGUUUUUGAAAGAAGUCUCUAUGCUCAUCAAGCCUGCAAACAAAUUUGUUUUU
Long non-coding RNA from Pimephales promelas (fathead minnow), 3431 nucleotides. RefSeq lists it as uncharacterized. Lineage: Eukaryota; Metazoa; Chordata; Actinopteri; Cypriniformes; Leuciscidae. The record is from RefSeq and is a predicted model, not a curated record.